UACGGAGGGGGCUAGCGUUGUUCGGAGUUACUGGGCGUAAAGCGCACGCAGGCGGCUUUGUAAGUUAGAGGUGAAAGCCCGGGGCUCAACUCCGGAAUUGCCUUUAAGACUGCAUCGCUAGAAUUGUGGAGAGGUAAGUGGAAUUCCGAGUGUAGAGGUGAAAUUCGUAGAUAUUCGGAAGAACACCAGUGGCGAAGGCGACUUACUGGACACAUAUUGACGCUGAGGUGCGAAAGCGUGGGGAGCAAACAGG
RNAcentral lists this ribosomal RNA (253 nucleotides) under uncultured bacterium. RNAcentral's name for it is "partial 16S ribosomal RNA". It matches the Rfam family "Bacterial small subunit ribosomal RNA", at positions 524 to 776 of the family's 1533-position model. The record is from RNAcentral.